GAUUAAGAAAUCUAACCGGGCUUAAGAAUUUUGAUGCUUCUUUGAAUCAAAUUCAUGGGGAUUUAUCAGAGUUGAGGUUUUUGACGAACCUGGUUUCUCUGCAAAUGUUUGAAAAUCAAAUUUCCGGCGAAAUUCCGGUGGAGUUUGGUGAAUUCAAGUCACUGGUGAAUCUCUCCCUUUACAAGAACAAGCUUACAGGGCCUCUUCCGCAAUCGAUUGGUUCUUGGACGGAGUUUGAUUUUAUUGAUGUAUCUGAAAAUUUCUUGACGGGGCCGAUUCCUCCUGAUAUGUGCAAGAAGGGGACGAUGCAGAAGCUUCUCAUCCUUCAGAACAAUUUUACCGGUGAAAUUCCGGCAACCUACGCUAACUGCUCCACUUUAACCCGAUUUAGAGUCAGUCAGAACUCGCUCACCGGAGUCGUUCCGUCUGGAAUUUGGGGAUUACCGAACGUGAAUAUAAUUGAUCUCGCCUCGAAUCAGUUGGAAGGUUCAAUCACUCCCAACAUUGGAAAGGC
Molecule: unclassified non-coding RNA, 514 nt
Filed under: Hevea brasiliensis (rubber tree)
Lineage: Eukaryota; Viridiplantae; Streptophyta; Magnoliopsida; Malpighiales; Euphorbiaceae
Source: RNAcentral